GUAGGGAAUAUUGGGCAAUGGUCGGAAGACUGACCCAGCCAUGCCGCGUGCAGGAAGACGGCCCUCUGGGUUGUAAACUGCUUUUAUCUGGGAAGAAAAAGGCCAUGCGUGGCAAAUUGCCGGUACCAGAUGAAUAAGCACCGGCUAACUCCGUGCCAGCAGCCGCGGUAAUACGGAGGGUGCGAGCGUUGUCCGGAGUUAUUGGGUUUAAAGGGUGCGUAGGCGGCUGAUUAAGUCAGCGGUGAAAGACUUCGGCUUAACCGGAGCAGUGCCGUUGAUACUGGUUGGCUUGAGUGUCGGAGGGGUACAUGGAAUUGAUGGUGUAGCGGUGAAAUGCAUAGAUACCAUCAGGAACACCGAUAGCGAAGGCAUUGUACUGGCCGACAACUGACGCUGAUGCACGAAAGUGUGGGGAUCGAACAGGAUUAGAAACCCGGGUAGUCC
This 444-nucleotide ribosomal RNA is filed under the name uncultured bacterium. Its description in RNAcentral is "partial 16S ribosomal RNA". It matches the Rfam family "Bacterial small subunit ribosomal RNA", at positions 354 to 796 of the family's 1533-position model. The record is from RNAcentral.